This 482-nucleotide ribosomal RNA is filed under the name uncultured bacterium. Its description in RNAcentral is "partial 16S ribosomal RNA". It matches the Rfam family "Bacterial small subunit ribosomal RNA", at positions 28 to 507 of the family's 1533-position model. The record is from RNAcentral.
GACGAACGCUGGCGGCGUGCUUAACACAUGCAAGUCGAACGAUGAAGAAGAGAAACGCGAACUUCGGUUCAAAUUUCACUUCGGAUUAGUGGCAGACGGGUGAGUAACGCGUGAGCAACCUACCUCUUACAAAGGGAUAGCCUCGGGAAACCGUGAUUAAUACCAUAUGACACAUUCAUAAGGCAUCUUAAGAAUGUUAAAGCUACGGCGGUAAGAGAUGGGCUCGCGUCCCAUUAGCUAGUUGGUGAGGUAACGGCCCACCAAGGCGACGAUGGGUAACCGGCCUGAGAGGGUGAACGGUCACAUUGGAACUGAGACACGGUCCAAACUCCUACGGGAAGCAGCAGUGGGGAAUAUUGCACAAUGGAGGGAACUCUGAUGCAGCGACGCCGCGUGAGCGAUGAGGGAAUUCGUUUCGUAAAGCUCUGUUCUAUGGGAAGAAAAGGACUGUACCAUAGGAGAAAGCCCCGGCUAAAUACGUG